GAUAAUAUUAACAUUAUAACAUCCAUUCUUUGCUCUUUUAAUAAACAUACAGAUUUCUUUGUUGGCUCAGUGAACACAUUUGGCUUCCAAGAUUUUCCUGUCUAUUAAUUGCGUGUCCAUUGACUCUUCAGUCCAUAAUUCAGUGAACACCUCACACAUACAGAAAUAAAACUGUCUUGCUGAUUACAGAAUCAUAGACUUUUAACAGGAAAACUCUUUUCAAUUUAGCUUCUGUCUACAAACAAAACUCAUAAUUCCAGGUAUAUUAAGGGCAGAUUUAGGAAAAAAAAACCUGUAUGUGCAUUAAGCAAAAUUACAUUUUCUAAUUACAGAAAUGUACAUAAUUUAAAAGGCAAUUGACCAACAAAUGUUGUGUGUGAAUCUGUUUAACCCAACUACAUAAGUAAUUUAUAAAGUGGGAAUAUAGCUAAGAUAAUCAUUUGCAGAGGCAGUAUAAAUAGUAGUUAAGAAAAGGUUGAAUGUUUGCCUGCUUUUCUGUAUUUCCACAGAGAUGUCCUAUGGAAACAGGAGGAGAGGAAAAACCUGCAACAAAAUCCAAGCAGGAAGUUACAUUUAAGAUUUCAGUCACUUCUGCAGGAAGCUCAGAAAGAUUCAACGGCAUUACCAGGUCCUUAGGGAACAUGUUUCCAAACAAAAUCUAGGAGCUACACAACAGCCACUCACCUUCAACACUGAGCCAGCUGGGUACGUAGUGCCAAUGCUGUCACCUUUCCAGUGGGAAAGAAACACAAAUUCCUAACAAAUGUGGGCACUAGGAAUGUCACUGCUCUUUGCCCAGCAACGUGGCAGCCAUCAUCAGCUCUGCCUCAGCACUGCCAGGGAGUUUAUUCAUCGUAAUCCAAACAACCUUAAACUGGCAAACUUCCCUCCUCUGCUCUGAUGGUUAAAAGCUACUGGCUCCAACUCCACCUCAAUGAUAAGCGAAAAGAGUUUGGUGUUAAACAAUCUAUUUUUGUCUAAAUAUUGGUUCCCUGUCUGAAGUUAAGAUAAUGAAUAGUGGAUAUGUUAUGGACAGUGGAAGCUGAAAGUCAAACUAAUUUACAGAUGGAUCCUGAAAACUCAGCACAGUUGGACUGCUGAAAUCAAAAGGUUUCAAUAUCUUAUUUUCUAUCUUAACCUAAAAAGGACAGUCUGGUGAUAUUUCAGGUUAAAAUUGAGAUCAGGAUAACAAUCAGAAUUUUGAAAAUGUCAGAAGUUCUGUACAUGACUGGAAUCAACUUAGUCCAAACAGCUAUGAAGAGGGUGAUAUCAGGAGUAAUCAAUUCCUGAUCUUAUUGUUUCCUGUGUGUAUAAUGAAUUAUAUAAACAUAAAUCCUCAAGAGUUAAGUUUAUGUUUGGGUUCUUCAAAAUAUAAACAAAAUUACUUCCCUAUGCAGAUUAUGCUCAGCAAAUCCUAGAGGACUUCAAAGGCUGUUCUUUGGCUUUUAAAGUCUUUUUACCCCCAGUCCAACUGAUCGAUAUGGGCCUAGCCAAGUGGCUGCCUCCAUGAUUGGUGCCUCCAAUUCCUCCCAGCCCUCUCAAAAGGACUCAGCAUAGAAUCAGUGUUCUCAGCCUGUAUUUUGCUUUGACAAUUUAUGCUUCUAUAUUGCAUCUGAAAAAAAUCAUCAGUAACUCAAAUGGGCAUAGGAAAAUACAUUGUUUUUUCCCCGUCAACCUAUGAUACCACUGAACUGUUUGAUGAGGGAAAGUUUCAUUUGCCUUUCGGCCAUCAGGCAUUGGCCAGCAUUCAAGGAAACAUACCCAUUCAGAUGAAGAACUGGCUUGUUUCAGUACUGACCAGCCAAAUUCAUCCUUGGAGUAAAACCAAUUAAUAUUUGUAAGGGAUAUAUGGCAGACAUUAAUUUAGGCCAUCGUAAGAGGUAAAAGUGGUAUAUUCUAAAUAUCCUGGAGGACAUACCAAUAGGUUAUAUUCUAGAGAAAUCAUGUAAAUCUGAGAAACACGAGUUGUAUUUUUAACUUACAUGAAAAAAAAGGUAACUGAGUUAGUAAUAGCUCUAUAAAGUGUUUAUCUCCACAAAGAAAAACUGCCAAAGUACCCACAUCCAGCAUCUUUCCUCACCUCAUUUUAGAAAGCAUAUGGAUAGAAAAAUGGCACAAAUAUCUAUAUACAGUUUAGUAAAAAAAGCAUUGACCCUGACUGCCUUGCUUCAGAAGUACAUUUUAGACCACUCAUUCACCAUCAAUACUAGUGCAAAAGCAAAUACCAAAGACUAAAUCUCUGCCACUGAAGGCUGAAUUCGUUGUGGAGCCUUGUGGUGAGUCCCGGUUGCCCUUUGGACAAGGGAAAACACUAGGAAAUCCACAUGCCAGAGCUCUCUAUCUCCCAUGUGGGGAAAAAUGAUCCUGCUUGGAAAAGGAGGCUGCAGUGAAGGAACAUGCCAUGAAACUUGCAUCAGGGAAGUAUUCUGGCCACUGCAACUUACAGCAUACCUGGAACUGUGCUAGUUUACUACCUGGACUUACCCUCUGUUGACUUAUCACAAGGAAAAAUUACAUUUUAUUAUUUGGGCUUUUAGGGAUUCUCGGUCACAGCCUUAAUGGCACAAACAGUGUUUCAAUACUUAUUGGGAAAGACAAUAAGAAAACAACUGCUUUGCCUUCCAAUGGCAGAAAUUAGUUUUUAAAAAGUGGAGGAUUAAAUUACAUGCCCCAAGGACCACAGAACUUCCUUGUACUUAAAAAAUUGUAAAGCAGCGAGGCACAGAGAAUUUCUGAAUCAGACUGACAUUCACCCACAGUAUCUUGGAGUCACCGAGAUAGAACUUUCAGUUAUGUUUGCUGUCUGGAAAAUAUCAAUAAAACAGAGAACCUACGUAAAUACCAUUCAGAAGCACCCAUAUCCACCCUCAGGAUUGCAGUGCAAACUCUGACCCUGCCUCCAGCAGGAAGGCAUCUGCUUGCUUGGUAUGAGAGCUCAUAUAUGAGAUUCCCAGACAUGAAAAUUGUAAAGCUUUUAUAGUGACAAGUGGCAUAUUAUACCAGCUUCAAUUGCCUACCUUUCAUUACUGCUAUUGGACCAGAAAAUAUCAUACAUGACGUAGCUGCAUUAUUGAGGUAUUUAAAAAAGCAAA
Non-coding RNA from Taeniopygia guttata (zebra finch), 3092 nucleotides. The record is from RefSeq and is a predicted model, not a curated record. Lineage: Eukaryota; Metazoa; Chordata; Aves; Passeriformes; Estrildidae.